AACAACUCUCAGCAACGGAUAUCUUGGCUCUUGCAACGAUGAAGAACGCAGCGAAAUCCGAUAUGUAGUGUGAAUUGCAGAAUUCCGCGAAUCAUCGAGUCUUUGAACGCAAGUUGCGCCCGAGGCUUGACCAAGGGCAUUUCUGCCAGAGCGUCACCG
Molecule: ribosomal RNA, 159 nt
Filed under: Fissidens serrulatus
Lineage: Eukaryota; Viridiplantae; Streptophyta; Bryopsida; Dicranales; Fissidentaceae
Description: 5.8S ribosomal RNA
Rfam family: 5.8S ribosomal RNA
About the family: 5.8S ribosomal RNA (5.8S rRNA) is a component of the large subunit of the eukaryotic ribosome. It is transcribed by RNA polymerase I as part of the 45S precursor that also contains 18S and 28S rRNA. Functionally, it is thought that 5.8S rRNA may be involved in ribosome translocation.
Source: RNAcentral